GACGAACGCUGGCGGCGUGCUUAACACAUGCAAGUCGAACGAUGAACCCGGAGCUUGCUCCGGUGGAUUAGUGGCGAACGGGUGAGUAACACGUGAGUAACCUGCCCUUGACUCUGGGAUAACUGCGGGAAACUGUAGCUAAUACCGGAUACGACCCUCGGCGGCAUCGCCAGGGGGUGGAAAGAAUUUCGGUCAAGGAUGGACUCGCGGCCUAUCAGCUAGUUGGUGAGGUAACGGCUCACCAAGGCGACGACGGGUAGCCGGCCUGAGAGGGUGACCGGCCACACUGGGACUGAGACCCGGCCCAGACUCCUACGGGAGGCAGCAGUGGGGAAUAUUGCACAAUGGGCGCAAGCCUGAUGCAGCAACGCCGCGUGAGGGAUGACGGCCUUCGGGUUGUAAAGCUCUUUUACCCGGGACGAUAAUGACUGUACCGGGAGAAUAAGCCCCGGCUAACUUCGUGCCAGCAGCCGCCGUAA
RNAcentral lists this ribosomal RNA (479 nucleotides) under uncultured bacterium. Its description in RNAcentral is "partial 16S ribosomal RNA". It matches the Rfam family "Bacterial small subunit ribosomal RNA", at positions 28 to 523 of the family's 1533-position model. The record is from RNAcentral.